RNAcentral lists this long non-coding RNA (308 nucleotides) under Elaeis guineensis (African oil palm). Its description in RNAcentral is "long non-coding RNA (EGUI_LNC009295)". The record is from RNAcentral. Lineage: Eukaryota; Viridiplantae; Streptophyta; Magnoliopsida; Arecales; Arecaceae.
UGUGCGUGCAUGAAGGGUGUUCAUGCAUUGGGUUUUGGGCGCUCUCCUUUCUCAUUUGGGUUUUCUUUUUGGAUGAGGUAAGGACUCCUAAUUAGAUGAGUCUUUUGAUCAGAUUUGGGUUCCACAUCUAUUUAAAGAAGGGACCCAACUACCGGUGGGGUGUGAAUAAUUUUGUGUGAUAAAUAUUUUCCACAACACCAUGAGAUAGAGAGCCUCUUAUGCGACAAGAAAAAUAAGGAGGGCGCUGAUUUAGGGGGACGGCUUCCUCUUGGUGUCUUCUCUCUUGGGUGCUCCUUCUUAGGCAUGAA